UAUUCUUAUCACUGGAAGUCCUUAGCUGCUGAAACAACUAUCAAAUGGAAAUGGUAGGUUUUCUGUGCCUGAAAUCUUUAAAUUGAGACUGGAUGCCAUUUUGGAAAAUAUACUUUUUUCUAAACAUAACUUGCUAGGUUUAGUGCAGGGUAAGAGGGAGAAAGUGUCUGGGCUCUCUUAUUCUGGUCAGGCCAGAGGAGCUGGUGUUUCUUUUUGGUAUUUGAGUCUCUGCUUCUGCUACGCUCUUCUCAGCACUGCCUUGUUACAGAGGAAAAGGAACUUUUAAGAGGGUCCUAAAUUAGUGUCCCUCUUUUCACAAGCCAUGUCUCUUAUUUCUGCUGCCUCUGUAAAAUGCAAUGAACAAUGAAAUGUGAAUUACUGAGAUUUGGGGCUACUGGGAGACAAAGCAGGGGAGCUAUUUAUGUAAUGCUGAAACACAUGAGUACCAUUGUUAUAUUCUUUCCUCAUAUGUAUGCCUAUUUGCUCCACUGGACUUCGUUCCUUACUAACAUUACUGCUCUCUCUUUCUCCAUUACACACGCUGUACUUCCCUCACAAGACACAGACAGGCCGUAAGGAAGGAAUAUUUCUGGUGAAGUCAGUGAAGUUACCUGUGCAUAAUUCUGGAUUAAUCCACUGAAGGCAGCUAUGGACCACUCAGUGCACACAUGCUCUGCGUUUCUCAUACCCAGAACCUUGCUGUGUUGGAGCACCUAUACUUCUCUGGAUGAAUAUUGACUUCUGGAUCCUAGGUCAAGCAAAGCCUAUGAGCAGGAGGAGGCACUUGCCUUUAGGGAUGGCAUUCCCUGAGGGGUAUGGACAGCACUGAAAUUGCCUGAGCAUCAUUGAUAACAUGCCUGCAGCUCAAGAACAUUUGUAACAGGUUCAUCUGAAAAGCAGAGGGAAGGAGCCUGUUUCCUGAUCGGAUCAGAUUUGUCAGAGAAGUUCUGAGAAGCAUCUGAAAUUUGCACGGACAUCUAAACUGCACGUAGCUCUGGUCUGGCUCUAGAAUAUGUAUCAUUCACAUUUAAAAACUUUUGCUCAGUGUUGGUGGAUUCAUUGGCCAGGCUGCUUGAUGUAUGGCUCUGGAGGACAAGGUAGUCUGACAGCCAGUGGAACUGACUAAAUGGCCAAGGGUUUAUGGAAAUUCCAGUGGGAAUCCGUUCACUGUGCAUUCUCCUGCCUUGGACAGCCAACAAGUUGUGAGCGUGCAGCUCCUAAUCAGGGCUGGCAGGGCAGAUGGUUUAUCUUUGGCUGCCUGAGAGUUCCUGCUCUGCAGAGAGAGGCAGACACUCGUUUUGACUCCUUGUUGUGGGCUUUUCAGUUUCCAGUCCAUUACAAGUGACAUAGCUGAUAAAAAGCCUGUCUGUCAGUGGUGUCCCCGGAGGGGUGAAUCUUCAUCCCCUCCUGUACUCAUACCAGGACUGUCUGCUCAUGCUUUUUUGGAUCAUGCUGGGCACCAGGUGAGGAAGAACUCCGCUGGGAGCUGGAUCACAGCAUCCCAGCCCUGCCAAGCCCUCUCCCACAUGCCCCUCCUAGCCACUUCAUAGGCAAUGGCAGCUCUAAAACAAACCUCUUCCCAAGUGGGAAUGUCGGUGCUUAAAAUAAAUCACUGCCUAUCAUUUUCUGAGUGGGUCAGAAGAAGACUUGUAAGCCUGUGUUGUGAACAGCUCUGACCCACUGCUUGGGAAAGAAAUGCCGCAGCAGACAGCAUUGCUCUGUAUCCAUCACCCAUGAAAGAAAAAAGGAAGCAAAAAUCCGACAGCUGUGGCCAGUCAGGAACUAUUUUGUGCAGUCAUGUAUUGGGCAUAUACGGUUCCUUUCAUUUACAGAAAGUGCACAUCUAUAAACCAAUCAAGGUCAUACUGGACUUCUCGGUGGGAACUGCUAUUCCCAUUUUGCAGCAGAGAAAGAAAAGGGUAGAUCUGCACAGAAUUUGUCUGGAUUCAACAGGGACCUUGCAGGCUAAUCCAAGGGGAUCCGAGUGGCAAAGUCUGUUCCGCCCGUGACUUGUCCAUGGCCAGCAGGGAUUCUGCAGCAGAGUGGGGAUAGAGUAUGGCGCCUUGCAUCCCAAAGCAUUGAUCUGAACAACUAUAACUGAAAUAACACCUCUAGAUUUCAUUGCUAAUGAAUAAGUAUGCUGUUCACUUGUCUGAGCCUCACCUUUUUUCUUUCUAAUUUGAGCUGACCUUCUGUACCUUUGCCGGAGUCCAAGUGUUACUUUCCAGUGCCCAUUUAUGAAGAAUAAAGAUAAGACAAACACAUAUAAAUAUACGUGUGUGUGUGUAUAUAUAUAUAUAUAUAUAAGUAUUUUCCCAUAUCACACUGGAGCGAGCUUCCUUUUCUCUGGCUCCAUAAUACUCUCUUUUUUCCUUACUAUAUCAAUUUUAACUCAGUUUAUUACAGUUUUGUGCCUGAUAUUCCAAAAAUUAUUUUCCUAGGGUUAAUCCCUAACCCCCAGCAAUAUCAUUAGGAAAGCUAUAUAGCAGACUUGAAAUAGUUACUACUUGGAGCAAGCCGCCUUUUCAAGUCAUAGAGAUCUUUAUUUAUAAUUCACGGAUUGGAGAAACUGGAGCAACGAUUUCUACAGUAUAAUGCAUAUAGUUUUGUCUGACAGACCUGUGCUAAUUACUCUGUGUGGUUUUGAUAUAGAGCCAAGAAUGGGUUGUAGAAAAAUGUGUAUCACUAAAACUUAGGUCCCCAAAGUCAAAAGUAAAACAAACAGUGAGAGAUCAUUAUCUGAAGCAGACCCUUACUAGCUGUGUACAGAAAAAAGUAAUUCCUGUGUUUUCUGUUUCUUUUUUUUCUUUAGAUCCAAGUAGUGUUUCUGUUUGUAUUUGGAAAUAUCUUGAAUUUGUACAGUUAGGGCAGACAGUGCAUUUAUUCUGCUCUAUCCGCUUUUUUCUUCUCUUUGAAAGACUAUAGCUGGCUCUGGUGUGGACUCUUUGUGUGGCCUUCAGCGAGUCACUUAACCUUCCUGUGCAUCAGUUUACUCAUUUGUAAAAGGAGUAUUAUAAUAAUAGACACCCCUCAGGGGCUCUUCCAGAUUUAAAUAAUUAAUGUUGUUAAAGCAGUUUGUGAGCCUCAGAUUAAAGGUGCUAAAUAAAGGCAAUAUAUUAAUAUUUUUUUACUCCAGCUCCUUAUAGAAAGAGCAAAGCAACAGCCUGAUAAACGUUGGAUUUAAAGUUGGGAGUUGAUAUUACAGUGCUCAGAGUAUUUUUUAAUUUCUGUGGUCCCAGUUCAGCAGAGCUCUUAAAUCCAUUCUUAAUUUUAGAAAGACCCUUUAUUUGCCACAGGUAAGGCUCCCAAUCUGAAAAGGUUUUUGAAUCAGUCCCCGUAAGAGCAGCGAUAGAAGAGAAGGAUCAACUGUGCAUGUAUGUAUCUAUGUGUGUUUAGCCUUUUGCAUUUAUGAUCUCAGCAAGAACAUCAUUGCCACAGGAAUGUAAUCGGGAAGUCUCAUAAGGCUUGCAAAAUUCAGCCGGGAUGCAAAUCAAUAAAUGUAACAGGAGAGAAACUACAAGCUGUGCAUUUCCAUGGAGGCUGAGAUUUUGUGGGAUGGAUAGACGCUGCUGAGCAUGACCUAAUGCCGCAGGAAAAAAAAGCAACCACAGACCUCAGCAUCUAAACAGUAUGAAUAUUGAACCAGAGGUCCUUGAGUAAUUGUCCUUUCUUCACUCUAGGGGUGAAAAGGGUACAUUAGACAUUCACUAGCAGCAAAUGGCACCUGACAUCUCUUUAAGUGAAAGUCAGCUUGGAAUUUUUUUUAAUGGCCAAGCAUAAAUCUUUUAAAUUAUAAAUCAAUAAAUAGUUAAUUCAAUAAUAGGAAUCUUUUAAAUAUUUAAUGAGUCAUAUGCAGAAUGGCUCUAUAACUGGAUGUUGAUGGAACUGUGUCAAAGGAAUUUGAAUCAAACUUUUCUAAACUCCCCAUAUUAAAAUAGUUAUUGAUUCAGAUAUAAACUAUGAAGACUGUUGCAAAAGUAAGGGGAGAUGGAGAGGUUUAGCAUACAUUUUCUCAUCCAAGAAGCAGCUUAUUUUUAAUGAUGUAUUCUUGAGCUUUUCAGAUUGUAUUAAUGUUCCCACUACAAAAAUGAGUAAGAACCUAUGCAGGCGAGAUUUUGUGUGUGCGUAUUCAUUAAAAUCCUGUUUUAAUGGCAGCUGUGCUCUUAAAUAAAAGCUGUGGCAGCCUGCCUCUCAUUAAAGGAUUCUGCUAACCAGCAUUGACAUUGAUAUCCUGAACUAUCUCCAUCUGAAACUGCCCAGAAGUUUCAACUUAUUUACCAGAGUUUUCAAGUGAAAGCCAGUGGGAGUGGUAUCUAUGUGUUCUAGACCUGAAUUUGUUCCUUUAUAAUUUUCUCUGAGGAGAUCUGUAGUCAGCGUUCACUCUUAUUAACUAUGUGCUGCCGUAAGUCAACACUAUUCUUAAUUACCCUAAAUUGGAGGCAUUUCAUGCUUAAACCUCAGACCUCAUUUGGUGCACUGUUAUUCUAUAGCAGAUGUGGCAUCUUCAGAUUUUGUACAGUCAAACCUUUACUUUCAAAAUAAUA
Aquila chrysaetos chrysaetos is the source of this 4544-nucleotide long non-coding RNA. RefSeq lists it as uncharacterized. The record is from RefSeq and is a predicted model, not a curated record. The transcript has 4 exons. NCBI's taxonomy places the organism in Eukaryota, Metazoa, Chordata, Aves, Accipitriformes, Accipitridae.